UACAGAGGGGGCAAGCGUUGUUCGGAAUUACUGGGCGUAAAGGGCGCGUAGGCGGCCACCUAAGUCAGGCGUGAAAUCCCUCGGCUCAACCGGGGAACUGCGUCUGAUACUGGGUGGCUUGAAUUCGGGAGAGGAAUGCGGAAUUCCAGGUGUAGCGGUGAAAUGCGUAGAUAUCUGGAGGAACACCGGUGGCGAAGGCGGCAUUCUGGACCGACAUUGACGCUGAGGCGCGAAAGCCAGGGGAGCAAACGGG
Molecule: ribosomal RNA, 253 nt
Filed under: uncultured bacterium
Lineage: Bacteria
Description: partial 16S ribosomal RNA
Rfam family: Bacterial small subunit ribosomal RNA
Source: RNAcentral